UGCCCGGGUANGNNUUUAACGGCCGCGGUAUACUGACCGUGCANAGGUNGCNUAAUCAUUAGUCUUUUAAUAGAGGGCUGGAAUGAAAGGUUUAACGAGGAACUGACUGUCUCAUAUUAUUUGUUUUAGAAUUUAAUUUUUUAGUCAAAAAGCUAAAAUUUUAUUGGAAGACGAGAAGACCCUAUNGAUCUNNAUAUAGUAUUAUUUAUUUAUUUUUAAAUAAGUAUUUUUAAUAUAAUACUUUAUUUUGUUGGGGNGACANAAANNNAUNANUANCUNUUUUAUUUAUUUAACAUUGAUUNAUGAUUAUUAGAUCCAUUUUUAGUGAUUGNUAGAUUAAGUUACCUUNGGGAUAACAGCGUAAUCCUCCUCCAGAGUUCAUAUUUACAGGAUGGGCUUGCGACCUCGAUGUUGGAUUAAGAUAAUAAUUAGGUGUAGCCGCUNAAUUUAUAGGUCUGUUCGACCUUUAAAUUCUUACAUGAUCUGAG
This 488-nucleotide ribosomal RNA is filed under the name Micrathyria aequalis. RNAcentral's name for it is "partial 16S ribosomal RNA". It matches the Rfam family "Archaeal large subunit ribosomal RNA", at positions 1983 to 2678 of the family's 2987-position model. The record is from RNAcentral. Lineage: Eukaryota; Metazoa; Arthropoda; Insecta; Odonata; Libellulidae.